GACGAACGCUGGCGGCGUGCUUAACACAUGCAAGUCGUACGACAGCAUUUCCUUUUAGGUUGUGUUUGGAGUGGCGAACGGGUGAGUAACACGUGAGUGACCUGCCCUUCACUUUGGGAUAACGUGCGGAAACGUGCGCUAAUACCAAAUAUUCGCAUUUCUGCUGCAUGGUGGGGUGUGGAAAGGGGCCUUCGGGUUCGUGGUGGGGGAGUGGGCGUCGCGGCCUAUCAGCUGUGUUGGUGGGUGAU
RNAcentral lists this ribosomal RNA (248 nucleotides) under uncultured bacterium. Its description in RNAcentral is "partial 16S ribosomal RNA". It matches the Rfam family "Bacterial small subunit ribosomal RNA", at positions 28 to 261 of the family's 1533-position model. The record is from RNAcentral.